GACGAACGCUGGCGGCGUGCUUAACACAUGCAAGUCGAACGGAAAGGCCCUGCUUUUGUGGGGUGCUCGAGUGGCGAACGGGUGAGUAACACGUGAGUAACCUGCCCUUGACUUUGGGAUAACUUCAGGAAACUGGGGCUAAUACCGGAUAGGAGCUCCUGCUGCAUGGUGGGGGUUGGAAAGUUUCGGCGGUUGGGGAUGGACUCGCGGCUUAUCAGCUUGUUGGUGGGGUAGUGGCUUACCAAGGCUUUGACGGGUAGCCGGCCUGAGAGGGUGACCGGCCACAUUGGGACUGAGAUACGGCCCAGACUCCUACGGGAGGCAGCAGUGGGGAAUAUUGCACAAUGGGCGGAAGCCUGAUGCAGCAGCGCCGCGUGCGGGAUAACGGCCUUCGGGUUGUAAACCGCUUCCGCCUGUGACGAAGCGUGAGUGACGGUAAUGGGUAAAGAAGCACCGGCUAACUACGUG
Molecule: ribosomal RNA, 468 nt
Filed under: uncultured bacterium
Lineage: Bacteria
Description: partial 16S ribosomal RNA
Rfam family: Bacterial small subunit ribosomal RNA
Source: RNAcentral